This is a non-coding RNA of Triticum urartu, 190 nucleotides long. NCBI's taxonomy places the organism in Eukaryota, Viridiplantae, Streptophyta, Magnoliopsida, Poales, Poaceae. The record is from RefSeq and is a predicted model, not a curated record.
UGCUACAAAUAAGAAAGGACCUGGUAGUAAACUUGAAAGAUUUCCCAGACCUUAUAAGCCUGAUUCAGAAGACAGCUCAAGGAAGGGAGAGAAACUUAAGGAUCAGAAACCUUCCAUAUGUACUCUCUGUGAUCCAGAAUGUCAACCAGGACUCAUGGAUAGAUUAUUAUUAGAGCGGAAGUCUUUAUGU